GUAGGUGGCAAGCGAUGUCCGGAAUUAUUGGGCGUAAAGCGCGCGCAGGCGGUUCUUUAAGUCUGAUGUGAAAGCCCACGGGCUCAACCGUGGAGGGUCAUUGGAAACUGGAGAACUUGAGUACAGAAGAGGAAAGCGGAAUUCCACGUGUAGCGGUGAAAUGCGUAGAGAUGUGGAGGAACACCAGUGGCGAAGGCGGCUUUCUGGUCUGUAACUGACGCUGAGGCGCGAAAGCGUGGGGAGCAAACAGGAUUAGAUACCCUGGUAGUCCACGCCGUAAACGAUGAGUGCUAAGUGUUAGGGGGUUUCCGCCCCUUAGUGCUGCAGCUAACGCAUUAAGCACUCCGCCUGGGGAGUACGGCCGCAAGGCUG
Molecule: ribosomal RNA, 372 nt
Filed under: uncultured organism
Description: partial 16S ribosomal RNA
Rfam family: Bacterial small subunit ribosomal RNA
Source: RNAcentral